CUAUUGGCCAUUGCUUAUGGGUUCUAUCUCGGCUGUUGCGUUGCUGGUGCCUUCGAACCUUGGCCCUUGCAGCUGCCUCUUCACCAAGGCCGUGUAGAUGCCGUCGCGGCUGAGGAGCUCGUCGUGCGUGCCGCUCUCCACUAUCUGGCCGUCGGAGAUGACGGCGACGGUGUCGGCGCUCUUGACGGUGGAUAGCCGGUGAGCUAUCACAAGCACGGUCCUCCCUUUCAUCAGAGAGUCCAUUGCAUCCUGUACCUGAACAAGAUACUCGCUUUCAGCGUCUAGUGCACUGGUAGCUUCAUCCAAGAGGAGCACUCGAGGGUUCAUAAGCAAAGCUCUUGCAAUGGCGACUCUCUGCUUCUGCCCACCUGAUAACCUGAUGCCUCGCUCUCCAACUACAGUCUUGUAUUGGUCUGGAAAACUGCAUAUGAAAUUGUGGGCGUUUGCCAUUUUCUGCAUCCAGAACUGCAUUCUCAACGUCAGCAGAGCUGGCUUUGCCCUCUAAUCCGUAAGCAAUAUUCUCUUCGAUGGAGCAGUUAAAGAGCACAGGCUCCUGACUAACAAUGCUUACCUUCCUGUGGAGAAACUGAUGUGAAAUCUCUGGCAAAGGCACUCCAUUAAGCAAGAUUCUUCCUUUUAGAGGGUCAUAAAACCGUUCAAUUAAAUUUGCUAUUUCCUCACUUUCCCACCACCACUUGGCCCAACAAGAGCUACCUUUGAACCUGGUGUUAACUUCAACAAAAUAUUAUACCUUCAGAAUCAUAUGAGAAGGCCGAGAGGGAUAUGCAAACCAGACAUCGUCGAGCUCAACCUCCCCAUCAUUUUCAUUGUUGGGCAUCUGUCCCCGGAAUUUGCCAUUGAGGAAACACGGUCCAGAAGUUGAAAUACUCGUCGGCUUGCGCCCGAUGCUUUCAUUACAGUUGUGUAUAGUCCUGACAAGGCAGAGACUGACGACCCAACUGUAAGGCUGUACAAAAUGAACGAUGUGAGAGAACCAGUUGUCAUGUAACCGUUGAUGGUUAAGUUAGCGCCAUAAAUAACUACAAUGACCACUGAUAGGGUUGAUGCUGCAUUGAGCCCUCCAGAAAACAUGCCAACAACUUUAGCUUGCUUGAGACCGAGUUUCAGUGUCUCAUCUACUUUCUCACCAUAUCGUAAGACUUCAUGACUCUCCUGAGCAAACGAUCUUACUGUGCGAAUGGCACCAAAAGAUUCCUGAACACAAUUAGAUAGAUUUCAACAGCAGCUGCUGCCUGUGUCUGAUGUGAAAGUUCACGAAGAAAGCGUCCAAAUUUGCGCACAGCAAUUGAUAUAACCGGAACAAUUACAAGUGCCAGCACUGUGAAGAAAGUAGGAAUGAGUUGCAAACAUAAAACCAAGACCAAUAGACGUAGUAGUAAUAUUGCGCAAUGCUUCUGAAAGGUUAGUUGUAGCAGCAUUCUUUAUUAUUUGCGUAUCUUCAGAAAGCCUGCUUAAUAGCUCUCCUGUUCUAGUGACAUCAAAAAAUGCUAUUUCCUGUGUUUGCACAAGAUAAGCUAUGACUAAACAAGUCCUUCCUCAGUCGAGCAACUACUCUCUCACUAGCAGAAUUGAAUAGCCAUGCCCGAAGCGCUAAGAUACCCAGUUACGACGAUUAUGACAAUAUACAAUAUUGUGCCCGUCACAUCAUCUAGGGCUUGAGCUUUAUCUUCUGGACGCCGAACAUCUCUUGAAACAAUGUCAAUUAUCUUUCCACCAUAUUUCGGCUAAUGUUACUGAGCGAAGCGACGAGCAGCGCCAUGGUGGCAAUAACCAGCUUCCCCGCGUCAUGCCUCGCCUGCAACCCAUAUGGCUCACGAAAGCGGAUUCGGCUCCGAACCUGGACGUUGCUCCCCUCCUCGAGAUCGGAGAGCGCCCUCGACGUCUCC
Molecule: small RNA, 1907 nt
Filed under: Oryza sativa Japonica Group (Japanese rice)
Lineage: Eukaryota; Viridiplantae; Streptophyta; Magnoliopsida; Poales; Poaceae
Description: sRNA Os03g0755150
Source: RNAcentral